RNAcentral lists this ribosomal RNA (908 nucleotides) under Escherichia coli. Its description in RNAcentral is "partial 23S ribosomal RNA". It matches the Rfam family "Bacterial large subunit ribosomal RNA", at positions 1917 to 2824 of the family's 2925-position model. The record is from RNAcentral. Lineage: Bacteria; Pseudomonadati; Pseudomonadota; Gammaproteobacteria; Enterobacterales; Enterobacteriaceae.
GCCCCGGUAAACGGCGGCCGUAACUAUAACGGUCCUAAGGUAGCGAAAUUCCUUGUCGGGUAAGUUCCGACCUGCACGAAUGGCGUAAUGAUGGCCAGGCUGUCUCCACCCGAGACUCAGUGAAAUUGAACUCGCUGUGAAGAUGCAGUGUACCCGCGGCAAGACGGAAAGACCCCGUGAACCUUUACUAUAGCUUGACACUGAACAUUGAGCCUUGAUGUGUAGGAUAGGUGGGAGGCUUUGAAGUGUGGACGCCAGUCUGCAUGGAGCCGACCUUGAAAUACCACCCUUUAAUGUUUGAUGUUCUAACGUUGGCCCGUAAUCCGGGUUGCGGACAGUGUCUGGUGGGUAGUUUGACUGGGGCGGUCUCCUCCUAAAGAGUAACGGAGGAGCACGAAGGUUGGCUAAUCCUGGUCGGACAUCAGGAGGUUAGUGCAAUGGCAUAAGCCAGCUUGACUGCGAGCGUGACGGCGCGAGCAGGUGCGAAAGCAGGUCAUAGUGAUCCGGUGGUUCUGAAUGGAAGGGCCAUCGCUCAACGGAUAAAAGGUACUCCGGGGAUAACAGGCUGAUACCGCCCAAGAGUUCAUAUCGACGGCGGUGUUUGGCACCUCGAUGUCGGCUCAUCACAUCCUGGGGCUGAAGUAGGUCCCAAGGGUAUGGCUGUUCGCCAUUUAAAGUGGUACGCGAGCUGGGUUUAGAACGUCGUGAGACAGUUCGGUCCCUAUCUGCCGUGGGCGCUGGAGAACUGAGGGGGGCUGCUCCUAGUACGAGAGGACCGGAGUGGACGCAUCACUGGUGUUCGGGUUGUCAUGCCAAUGGCACUGCCCGGUAGCUAAAUGCGGAAGAGAUAAGUGCUGAAAGCAUCUAAGCACGAAACUUGCCCCGAGAUGAGUUCUCCCUGACUCCUU